RNAcentral lists this ribosomal RNA (164 nucleotides) under Cypripedium reginae. RNAcentral's name for it is "5.8S ribosomal RNA". It matches the Rfam family "5.8S ribosomal RNA". From Rfam's summary of the family: 5.8S ribosomal RNA (5.8S rRNA) is a component of the large subunit of the eukaryotic ribosome. It is transcribed by RNA polymerase I as part of the 45S precursor that also contains 18S and 28S rRNA. Functionally, it is thought that 5.8S rRNA may be involved in ribosome translocation. The record is from RNAcentral. Lineage: Eukaryota; Viridiplantae; Streptophyta; Magnoliopsida; Asparagales; Orchidaceae.
UUUAUGACUCUCGACAACGGAUAUCUUGGCUCUUGCAUCGAUGAAGAACGCAGCGAAAUGCGAUAAGUGGUGUGAAUUGCAGAAUCCCGUGAACCAUCGAGUCUUUGAACGCAAGUUGCGCCCGAUGCCAUCAGGCUAAAGGCACGCCUGCCUGGGCGUCGUGU